RNAcentral lists this ribosomal RNA (503 nucleotides) under uncultured bacterium. RNAcentral's name for it is "partial 16S ribosomal RNA". It matches the Rfam family "Bacterial small subunit ribosomal RNA", at positions 30 to 523 of the family's 1533-position model. The record is from RNAcentral.
AUUGAACGCUGGCGGCAGGCUUAACACAUGCAAGUCGAGCGGGGUGAUGGUGCUUGCACUAUCACUUAGCGGCGGACGGGUGAGUAAUGCUUAGGAAUCUGCCUAUUAGUGGGGGACAACAUCUCGAAAGGGAUGCUAAUACCGCAUACGUCCUACGGGAGAAAGCAGGGGAUCACUUGUGACCUUGCGCUAAUAGAUGAGCCUAAGUCGGAUUAGCUAGUUGGUGGGGUAAAGGCCUACCAAGGCGACGAUCUGUAGCGGGUCUGAGAGGAUGAUCCGCCACACUGGGACUGGGAGACGGCCCAGACUCCUACGGGAGGCAGCAGUGGGGAAUAUUGGACAAUGGGGGGAACCCUGAUCUAGCCAUGCCGCGUGUGUGAAGAAGGCCUUAUGGUUGUAAAGCACUUUAAGCGAGGAGGAGGCUCUUUUGGUUAAUACCCAAGAUGAGUGGACGUUACUCGCAGAAUAAGCACCGGCUAACUCUGUGCCAGCCGCCGCGGUAA